GACGAACGCUGGCGGCGUGCUUAACACAUGCAAGUCGAACGGAAAGGCCCUGCUUUUGCGGGGUGCUCGAGUGGCGAACGGGUGAGUAACACGUGAGUAACCUGCCCUUGACUUUGGGAUAACUUCAGGAAACUGGGGCUAAUACCGGAUAGGAGCUCCUGCUGCAUGGUGGGGGUUGGAAAGUUUCGGCGGUUGGGGAUGGACUCGCGGCUUAUCAGCUUGUUGGUGGGGUAGUGGCUUACCAAGGCUUUGACGGGUAGCCGGCCUGAGAGGGUGACCGGCCACAUUGGGGCUGAGAUACGGCCCAGACUCCUACGGGAGGCAGCAGUGGGGAAUAUUGCACAAUGGGCGGAAGCCUGAUGCAGCAACGCCGCGUGCGGGAUGACGGCCUUCGGGUUGUAAACCGCUUUCGCCUGUGACGAAGCGUGAGUGACGGUAAUGGGUAAAGAAGCACCGGCUAACUACGUG
RNAcentral lists this ribosomal RNA (468 nucleotides) under uncultured bacterium. Its description in RNAcentral is "partial 16S ribosomal RNA". It matches the Rfam family "Bacterial small subunit ribosomal RNA", at positions 28 to 507 of the family's 1533-position model. The record is from RNAcentral.